Molecule: long non-coding RNA, 2059 nt
Organism: Felis catus (domestic cat)
Lineage: Eukaryota; Metazoa; Chordata; Mammalia; Carnivora; Felidae
Exons: 4
Source: RefSeq, a predicted model, not a curated record
GGGAGGGGGGAUCGUAACCUAUCUCAGCGGUUCGCACACUUUACACUUCAGCCAAUCACAAUCCCCAGAGAUUCGUUAAAGCACAGUUGGCUCCUGCCUUCCCCACCUCAUCCGUCCAACCUCCCCUUUCUGACUCUUUAAGUCUUCCAAGGGCCGGAGAUUUUGCGUUUCUAACAAGUUCCCAGGUGAUGCCGAGGCAGUCGUGAAGAUCAAGAGCUAGCGUUCACGUUUCAUUUCGUUCCAACCCCGGCCUCUUUUCCUCGGAAUGUUAGACUCUUACUUUUCCUCUUGAGUAUGCGCCAAGCCUAUGUGUGUAGCAGCAAAAGGUUGUCAAGGUCAGAAACAACAAAGGAAGAGUGGGGAACUGCUCCAGAUUCAGACUAAGGAGACAUGACACUCACACGCCAGGCAGAGUCAUGGAUUGGACCCUGAAGCCACUGGAAAUCCAAGUGGAUAGAUAAACAUACCGAGGUGUGGUCAAGCGGUGAAAGGCUAGUCAGCCAUAAAGACAGAAUGAAAUGCUGCUAUAUACCAUGACGUGGAUGGAUCCCAAAAACGUUAUGCUGAGUAAAAGAAGCCUGACACACCAAAAAGUACAUACUGUAUGAUCCCAUUUAUGUGAAAUUCCAGAAAGGACAAAUCUAAUCUACAGUGACAGAAAGCAGACCAGUGGUUGCCUGGAGCUGGGGCUGGAAGGAUUGACUGGGAAGCAACACAAGGGAAUGUUCUGAGGUGAAGCAAAUGUUCUGCAUCUUGAUUGUGGCAGUGGUUACUUGGUUAUAUAAACUUGUCGGGGCUCAUCAAAAUGUACAUUUGAAAUAGGUGCGCUUUGCUGGAUGACAGUCAUACCUCAAUAAAGUUGAUUCAACAGGAUAAAACAUUUAAUGAGUAGAACAUACUGUGCUACUCAAAUAUCCAACUGUGAAGAAGCCUGCAUACAGACACAGAGAGAGAAAUCAUCCCUGGGGCACCUCAGUCUGUAAAAGGUACUCACCUUCAUGACGACCCCAGGUUCUUCUGGAAGCCGCCUUAUGGGCUUGCUGUGGGGCCUGCCCUAGGGUUCGGCGUCUUAGCCAUCUCGAGGCACCAUUGUUUGUGCUGAGUUAUGGGAUGACCUGGGAAUUCUGUUUUAGCCCUCGGUUGAAGGACUUUGCCCUCUCUUCCCCGCUCUGGUCUGCUGCCUGAUUUUGUAAGCUUCCACCUCUCGUUCUCUCUCUUCCCAGAACUCCCAGGGUGUGGAGAAGCUCGUGCUGCCCAGCCAACUCCCACCUGAGGCUGAAGUCUUUUCAAUUUACAGAGAGAGGCGACGUAACUGCUUUUGCCGUCAUUGGCCCUUUCUUUUUCUUCCUCUUCCUCUCUCUACUUUGUGUGUCAAGGCCCCCAAAUCACAUCCUACUUCUAUUGGACUCUGCUAGAACCUCUCGUCUUUUCAGCUGAUAGAUAGCUCCCAUCCUGUGAAGGCUUUAGGGAAGAAUCCUUCCGUGCCCCUUCCAGCCUCCAGUGGUUGCUGGCAAUUUUUCACGUUUCUUGGCUUGUGGCUGCUUUACUCCCAUCUCUGCCUCUAUCACAUGACUCUCUUCCCUGUGUGCAUGCAUAUAUCUCUGUGUGUCCUCUCAUUUUCUUAUAAGGACAGCAGUCAUUGGCUUUAGCCCUCCCCCCCCCCCCCAUCUAGUAUGACCUCUUCUUAAUUGAUUACAUCUGCCAAGGCUAUAGUUCCAAAUAAGGCAACACUCUGAGGUUCCAGGUGGAUGUGAAUUUUGGAGGGACAUUAUUGAACCCACUGUACAUUAAAAAUCUCAUUUACUUUUCACCACAACUCUAUCAAGUCAACGUUAUUACAAUACACAUUUUAUACAUGAAGAAAUUGAAGUAUAGAGAACUUAAAUGGUUGCCCAAGGUAACAUACCAGGAAUGCCAGGAAUUCUGAUGUUAGAGCAUUUUAUCUACCCACUGUGAUACACCUCUCUUAAAACUUGAAAACAAAAGUAGGGGCACCUGGGUGGUUCAGUCCAUUAAGCGUCCGACUUCAGAUCAGGUCAUGAUCUCACGGUUCGUGAGU